Molecule: long non-coding RNA, 1655 nt
Organism: Oreochromis aureus
Lineage: Eukaryota; Metazoa; Chordata; Actinopteri; Cichliformes; Cichlidae
Source: Ensembl
CCGGCAAGUCCGCUAUUCACUCUUUCAUGGAAACUGGCAUUUCUUUUAUGUUUACGUCUUGGUAUGGCGACACCAACAAUUCGGGUAGUUAAUCCAGAUGCCCCUGCACAUCGUCAGCAGGCUCUACUUAUGGCAACCAAAGAGGCACGUUACUACCGGGUGAGAAGUAUGGUCUUCCCCAAACCUCCACAGGAGCUGCUCAGCCAAGUCACUGCCUUGACUCAUGCAGAGAAGCUUCUUCAAGCCGAGGGUAUCCACGUGCCUUCACGUCAGCAGUGCCUGGGAAAGCUGGUGGUGCCAUUUGGACAAUAUGAACAUGCACCGUUUCGGUGGCUCGUUGCAAACGACGUGGGAUAUAUGAAGUAGUGAGUGUACCAUAUAUUUAAUACCAUACUAUAGGCAGGUUUACUGAACUUCCAUUUACUGCACAUUUCCCCGUGUAAGGCUAUUAUCAGUAUAUCUUGUUCGUUGUAAACUUUCUUUAAGUGUGUAAUAUUCACGGAGAUAUUGCUGACAGUAUGUAUGAUUCCAGCAUACUUGACAGGCACAGAACAGAGGUGACAAAUCCACAAAGAAAGGGAGAGAUAGGGAACCAGUGGGUGAAGGAUUACCUCACAGAAUAUGCAGAAAGCUUCCCUCAAGUCUCCGUAGUCCUCGAGGCCAACAUUGACAGGUGCAUCUAUGGUCAGAAAGGGUUUGAAGAUCACACCUUUCAAGAGAUGUGGGAAUUAUAUUGUCAGUACAGCAGCCAAAAGGACAGACCUGAGAAGUUCAGUGAUGAGCAGAGGGAGGUCAUUCAGAAGGCACACAGUUCUGUGAAGAGGUGGUUGAACACACCAGUGACGCACAUCACAAGCACCCAAAUGAAGAGGUUCAGAAAAUAUAUAUAUGACAAGGAACAACAACGGCUGACAAGUACCCCCAGGUGUGAUCCUUCGUUGUGGCCAGGUGAUGAUGCUGAACUGAUAGCUGCAUCCCAGUCUGUGGAAGAUUCACUGAAGUCCCAACACUCCUUGUCUGCAAGUCAACCUUUAAAGCAACGGCUGACAAGCAGAGGUGUUUCCUCCUCCCAGACGUCUGGAACACAGGAGAACUCAGCUCCCCUGUCCAAGGAGUUUGCGAACACUGUACAGUCACCACAUCAAAAUAAAUCUACUGUGCAGCCCAAACAUCGUGAGUCCACAGAGGCUGCCAUACAGUCCAAAAAACUUGACACUGUUGGAUUCACCGAGUCAUCUGCAUCCCAGGGUCAUGAUCAUACAACACAAUUACCGUUGAGUCAUUCACCUGUGGAACUAGAGGGAUGGGUGCGUCCCUGGGAAAAUCCUAAUGGUAUCCCAUCUGCUGACAUUUCCUGGCUUAAAGAGGACACUAAAAGAGGGCUGUUUACCCCUGUUCAGACAUACAAGGAUGUUACUGGUGUGUUAAAGAGGCGACGGGUGAUUAAAUCAGAUCGCAUGUGGUUUUACCCACCAGAACCUCCUGGCUAUGUCAGGGGUGCUGUGCCCAGUGUACAGCUCUUUUUUCGCAGCCGUGUCUUUUUGUGGCGUCCUGUUGGGGUAUGGAAGUACUCCCUGAAGUGUCCUCGAGCUGACGAGUGUGUGGGUAAAGGACAAAAUGUGCACCUAUAUAAGUCUGGCUAUCACCACCGGGUA